GGCAGAAGGAGCACAAACAUAAAGUAGGAGAAUGAGCAGGAAGGGCCUGCAAGGAGCAGAAAGGGUCAGAAAUGAGCUGGAAGGGGCAGAAGGAGCACAAACAUAAAGUAGGAGAAUGAGCAGGAAGGGCCUGCAAGGAGCAGGAAGGAGCACAAAGGGAUAGCAAGGAGCACAAAGGUAAAGGAGCAGAAAGAAUCAGGAGGACCACAAAGGUAAAGUAGGAGAAAGAGCAGAGAGAGACAGG
Pelobates cultripes (western spadefoot toad) is the source of this 244-nucleotide non-coding RNA. The record is from the annotation of a GenBank genome assembly. Lineage: Eukaryota; Metazoa; Chordata; Amphibia; Anura; Pelobatidae.